This 496-nucleotide ribosomal RNA is filed under the name uncultured bacterium. RNAcentral's name for it is "partial 16S ribosomal RNA". It matches the Rfam family "Bacterial small subunit ribosomal RNA", at positions 28 to 506 of the family's 1533-position model. The record is from RNAcentral.
GAUGAACGCUGGCGGCGUGCCUAAUACAUGCAAGUCGAGCGAACGGACGAGAAGCUUGCUUUUCUGAUGUUAGCGGCGGACGGGUGAGUAACACGUGGAUAACCUACCUAUAAGACUGGGAUAACUUCGGGAAACCGGAGCUAAUACCGGAUAAUAUUUUGAACCGCAUGGUUCAAAGGUGAAAGACGGUCUUGCUGUCACUUAUAGAUGGAUCCGCGCUGCGUUAGCUAGUUGGUAAGGUAACGGCUUACCAAGGCAACGAUGCAUAGCCGACCUGAGAGGGUGAUCGGCCACACUGGAACUGAGACACGGUCCAGACUCCUACGGGAGGCAGCAGUAGGGAAUCUUCCGCAAUGGGCGAAAGCCUGACGGAGCAACGCCGCGUGAGUGAUGAAGGUCUUCGGAUCGUAAAACUCUGUUAUUAGGGAAGAACAUAUGUGUAAGUAACUGUGCACAUCUUGACGGUACCUAAUCAGAAAGCCACGGCUAACUACGU